AAUGAACUCAUCCUUGAUUGUGGAGCAGAGGAGCACUUCUGCAUGUGGCAGGAGGGGAUGUGUGGCGGAGAGAGAAGCGAGGAAGCAGGACCGAGCUCCUGGGAAGGUUGGCUGGAGAUGCUGUACGCCUCUCUGCUUUGCCCAGAGCUCCUGGGAGACCUUGGGGGGAGCAAUGCACAUGGCUUGGAGUAGGUCAGGUCUGGGUGAUGAGGUGAACAAAAGGGGCCCAGACAUCCAGAACAGCCACUGGAAAUAUCAGAGAAGUCAGCCUGUGCCAGGGACGACUGUUUUCUUCCCCGGCACACUGCACCUCCGUGCUUUCCAUGUGGAGAUCAGGCUGUCCCUCUGCCACCAGCCUGCCCAAGGCCGAUGCCGAUGCCUCAGCAGCAGACUUCCCAUCCAGCCAUCCCGCAGUCCCAACGGGCUCCGUGAAGGUGAACUGCUGCCCUCACCUUCCCAGCCUGUCCCUCCUGAGGAGCUGAGCCCACCCAUGGCAGCACGUCAGCAGUGUCAGAGACCCCAGCGUGUCCCCCCGAUCCCAAUGCGGCCACGGCUCUGCAGCUGUGCAGACCCCAGACCCCUCCUGACGGGGCUAGACUGGGAAGGAAGGAGCAAGGCUGCUUCUGCAAGGCGUGAGGUUCAAUAG
RNAcentral lists this long non-coding RNA (646 nucleotides) under Anser cygnoides (Swan goose). Its description in RNAcentral is "lncRNA (ENSACDG00005018504.1)". The record is from RNAcentral. Lineage: Eukaryota; Metazoa; Chordata; Aves; Anseriformes; Anatidae.